This 483-nucleotide ribosomal RNA is filed under the name uncultured bacterium. Its description in RNAcentral is "partial 16S ribosomal RNA". It matches the Rfam family "Bacterial small subunit ribosomal RNA", at positions 28 to 507 of the family's 1533-position model. The record is from RNAcentral.
GACGAACGCUGGCGGCGUGCUUAACACAUGCAAGCCGAACGCUGAAGCUCAGCUUUUGUUGGGUGGAUGAGUGGCGAACGGGUGAUUAACACGUGAGUAACCUGCCCCCUUCUUUGGGAUAACGCCCGGAAACGUGUGCUAAUACUGGAUAUUCACUGGUCUUCGCAUGGGGGUUGGUGGAAAGGGUUUUUCUGGUGGGGGAUGGGCUCGCGGCCUAUCAGCUUGUUGGUGGGGUGAUGGCCUACCAAGGCUUUGACGGGUAGCCGGCCUGAGAGGGUGACCGGUGACAGUGGGACGGAGAUACGGCCCAGAGUACGACGGGAGGCAGCAGUGGGGAAAAUUGCACAAUGGGCGAAAGCCUGAUGCAGCGACGACGCGUGAGGGAUGGAGGCCGUCGGGUUGUGAACCUCUUUCGCUAAUGGUCAAGCCGCAACAAUGGUUGUGGUGAGGGUAGUGUGUAAAGAAGCGCCGGCUAACUACGUG